Molecule: ribosomal RNA, 259 nt
Filed under: uncultured bacterium
Lineage: Bacteria
Description: partial 16S ribosomal RNA
Rfam family: Bacterial small subunit ribosomal RNA
Source: RNAcentral
UACGAAGGGGGCUAGCGUUGCUCGGAAUCACUGGGCGUAAAGCGCACGUAGGCCGGAGUUGCUAAAGUCAGGGGGUGAAAUCCUGGAGCUCAACUCCAGAACUGCCUUUGAUACUGGCAACCUUGAGUCCGGGAGAGGUGAGUGGAACUGCGAAGUGUAGAGGUGAAAUUCGUAGAUAUUGGGAAGAACACCGGUGGCGAAGGCGGCUCACUGGCUCGAUUACUGAGCUCGAGGCGCGAUAGCGUGGGGAUCAAACAGG